Molecule: long non-coding RNA, 1506 nt
Filed under: Solanum tuberosum (potato)
Lineage: Eukaryota; Viridiplantae; Streptophyta; Magnoliopsida; Solanales; Solanaceae
Description: long non-coding RNA (STUB_LNC002476)
Source: RNAcentral
AGGGAAGUAAGUGAAAAAGUCUUGUGUCUCCGUACGUAAGCAAAAAUUAAUUAUGCAAGUUGGAGUAGGAAUAGGGGUAGGGUUGGUGGGGAUGGGGCGAAGAUGAGGUCUAUCGUACACAAUUGACAUGGAAUGUCACUGAUGGAACCUGCUUUCCUUCCUUUUCAUUAGGAAAGUUAUUUUCCUCAUUCCCUAAGAAACUUAUUUGUUAAAGAAAAUGCUUUUCAAAAUUUUUAACCGAACAGGUCCGACUCUUUUCAUGGUCUUACUUUCUGCAUCCAUUCCUCAGUAUGGUUAAACUUAUGUUGAUGCAGGCAUGGUGACCAGGCGGCACAGAUGACACGUGAAGGAUUCGAUGCUGCAGGGCAUGCUUUAGGGACUGCGUGGGCUGUGUUUAAGAUAAGAAAAGCUCUGAAUCCAAAGGGUGCUAUCAAGCCUACUACAGUUGCAAAAGCUGCUGCUCAAGCUAGCCUUGCUAAGCUGAAGAGCAAGCAGAAGUAAAUAGGAUCUGGAUGUUCCACUUGCCAUCUCUUAACUUCCUCACUCACUCAGUUUUAUUUAUUGCUUAAUUAGAGAGUUUGUCUUUGCGUGUGAGCUACUUUGAGAGAAAAUGAUGUAAUGUAAUGUCUAGCUUUGAAUUUGCAGGAACGAUAGUGUAUGUAUUGGCUUUAUUGCUAUAGUCAUUUGCUAGUUGGCAACUUAAUUUGUUGAGACCUCAAGAUUUUAGUUGGUGUUUGGUUGAAAAUUGGAAAUGGAAAAAAGAAGUAGCUGAAAUUGAAGUUAAAAAGAUACAAUUUGUAACUUAAAAGUCUGUGUUUAUACUUGGAAAAAUAUUUUGAUGUUUAAAGACAUAUAAAAACACAUGCUUAAAUCAGACUUUACUUCAAAGAAUUUUGGGCAGUGAACAGCAAAUAUAGAAGGGAAAACGAAAAUUCAACCCUUUUAUAUAUGCGGGUGGCUCAAUGCCCUUUAAAUGAGGCAUGUCUUAGGCUUCCAAAAUCAAAAGGGCCUAAUUUUUUAGUAAUAAUAAAUUAUUAUAAGCCUUUUUUAACAAAAAAAAUAUACUAUAUUUUUUAAUUUAUUUAUCGUAUUUUUAGUUUGUUUCGAAACGCCUGACAAUUUUGGGCAAUCAAUCUUUCAAAGAAGAGUCCUGUAAGCCACAAGUCUUGUUUGUUUUAGGGUGCGUUUGGUAGAAAGGAAAAUGUUUUCAGGGAAGUAAGUGAAAAAGUCUUGUGUCUCCGUACGUAAGCAAAAAUUAAUUAUGCAAGUUGGAGUAGGAAUAGGGGUAGGGUUGGUGGGGAUGGGGCGAAGAUGAGGUCUAUCGUACACAAUUGACAUGGAAUGUCACUGAUGGAACCUGCUUUCCUUCCUUUUCAUUAGGAAAGUUAUUUUCCUCAUUCCCUAAGAAACUUAUUUGUUAAAGAAAAUGCUUUUCAAAAUUUUUAACCGAACAGGUCCGACUCUUUUCAUGGUCUUACUUUCUGCAUCCAUUCCUCAGUAUGGUUA